Molecule: non-coding RNA, 312 nt
Filed under: Anaerolinea thermophila
Lineage: Bacteria; Bacillati; Chloroflexota; Anaerolineae; Anaerolineales; Anaerolineaceae
Description: T-box sequence
Rfam family: T-box leader
About the family: Uncharged tRNA acts as the effector for transcription antitermination of genes in the T-box leader family. T-boxes are found upstream of many aminoacyl-tRNA synthetase genes and some amino acid biosynthetic genes usually in Gram-positive bacteria. The anticodon of a specific tRNA base pairs to a specifier sequence within the T-box motif, and the NCCA acceptor tail of the tRNA base pairs to a conserved bulge in the T-box antiterminator hairpin.
Source: RNAcentral
AUAAAGGCUGUGAAGGGAAAGAGUACCCUUCGCCACGACGGUACAGAGAGCAGGGGAAAGGUGAAAGCCCUGCCCGUUCCGCGAGGGGGAAUGGUUCCCGGAGCCGCAGGGUGAAAGGCAGAGUGCCGAGUAUCCCGCGCCGGAGUUGCCGCCGUUAUUUGGGCAAAGGGUAUAACCGGUUCAUCCAGAACCGCCGUACCCCAUGAGUGAGGCUGGCUUUCUUCCCCGUCGUCGUCACGACGGGGAUUUUGAUUAAACCCCAACCCCAGCCUAAAUUGGGUGGCACCGCGAGAAACCUCUCUCGUCCCAAUG